RNAcentral lists this ribosomal RNA (497 nucleotides) under uncultured bacterium. RNAcentral's name for it is "partial 16S ribosomal RNA". It matches the Rfam family "Bacterial small subunit ribosomal RNA", at positions 28 to 507 of the family's 1533-position model. The record is from RNAcentral.
GAUGAACGCUGGCGGCGUGCCUAAUACAUGCAAGUCGAGCGAACAGAUAAGGAGCUUGCUCCUUUGACGUUAGCGGCGGGCGGGUGAGUAACACGUGGAUAACCUACCUAUAAGACUGGGAUAACUUCGGGAAACCGGAGCUAAUACCGGAUAAAAUAUUGAAACGCAAGGGUCAAUAGUGAAAAGGGGGUUUGGUGUAACUUAUAGAUGGAUCCGCGCCGGAUUAGCUAGUUGGUAAGGUAACGGCUUACCAAGGCAACGAUACGUAGCCGACCUGAGAGGGUGAUCGGCCACACUGGAACUGAGACACGGUCCAGACUCCUACGGGAGGCAGCAGUAGGGAAUCUUCCGCAAUGGGCGAAAGCCUGACGGAGCAACGCCGCGUGAGUGAUGAAGGUCUUCGGAUCGUAAAACUCUGUUAUCAGGGAAGAACAAAUGUGUAAGUAACUGUGCACAUCUUGACGGUACCUGAUCAGAAAGCCACGGCUAACUACGUG